GACGAACGCUGGCGGCGUGCUUAACACAUGCAAGUCGAACGAUGACGACCGAGCUUUCCUGGUCUGAUUAGUGGCGCACGGGUGAGUAACACGCGAGCAACCUGCCCCUCACUCUGGGAUAACCCCGGGAAAUCGGGGCUAAUACCGCAUAUGAGCUCCUGUCGCAUGGCGGGUGUUGGAAAGUUUUUCGGUGGAGGAUGGGCUUGCGGCCUAUCAGUUUGUUGGUGAGGUAGUGGCACACCAAGGCGAUGACGGGUAGCCGGCCUGAGAGGGCGACCGGCCACAAUGGGACUGAGACACGGCCCAGACUCCUACGGGAGGCAGCAGUGGGGAGUAUUGCACAAUGGGCGAAAGCCUGAUGCAGCGACGCCGCGUGAGGGAUGACGGCCUUCGGGUUGUAAACCUCUUUCAGAAGGGAAGAAGCGAAAGUGACGGUACCUGCAGAAGAAGCGCCGGCUAACUACGUG
RNAcentral lists this ribosomal RNA (467 nucleotides) under uncultured bacterium. RNAcentral's name for it is "partial 16S ribosomal RNA". It matches the Rfam family "Bacterial small subunit ribosomal RNA", at positions 28 to 507 of the family's 1533-position model. The record is from RNAcentral.